UACGAAGGUGGCAAGCGUUGUUCGGAAUCACUGGGCUUAAAGAGCACGUAGGCGGCCUCAUAAGCGAUCUGUGAAAUCCCUCGGCUCAACCGAGGAAUUGCUGGUCGAACUGUGAGGCUUGAGGCAAGUAGGGGUGCAUGGAACUCUUGGUGGAGCGGUGAAAUGCGUAGAUAUCAAGAGGAACGCCGGUGGCGAAAGCGGUGCACUGGGCUUGUCCUGACGCUGAGGUGCGAAAGCUAGGGGAGCAAACGGGAUUAGAUACCCCGGUAGUCCUAGCCGUAAACGAUGCCUACUAGGUCGGAGUCUCUCUGACGGGAUUUCGGCCGAAAUUAAAACGUUAAGUAGGCCGCCUGGGGAGUACGGUCGCAAGGCUAAA
Molecule: ribosomal RNA, 376 nt
Filed under: uncultured bacterium
Lineage: Bacteria
Description: bacterial SSU rRNA
Rfam family: Bacterial small subunit ribosomal RNA
Source: RNAcentral